CCUACGGGUGGCUGCAGUGGGGAAUAUUGGACAAUGGGGGAAACCCUGAUCCAGCAAUGCCGCGUGUGUGAAGAAGGCCUGCGGGUUGUAAAGCACUUUCGGUUGGGAAGAAAAGUUUGGCGCCAAUACCGCCGAACCUUGACGUUACUGACAGAAGAAGCACCGGCUAACUCUGUGCCAGCAGCCGCGGUAAUACAGAGGGUGCAAGCGUGCAUCGGACUCGCUGGGCGUGUCAUGUAAGUCGGUGGUGAAAUCCCCGGGCUGAACCUGGGAACUGCAUUCGAUACUACAUGGCUAGAGUAUGGUAGAGGGAAGUGGAAUUUCCGGUGUAGCGGUGAAAUGCGUAGAUAGCGGAAGGAACACCAAUGGCGAAGGCAGCUUCCUGGACUAAUACUGACACUGAGGCACGAAAGCGUGGGUAGCAAACAGGAUUAGAUACCCUUGUAGUC
Molecule: ribosomal RNA, 449 nt
Filed under: uncultured bacterium
Lineage: Bacteria
Description: partial 16S ribosomal RNA
Rfam family: Bacterial small subunit ribosomal RNA
Source: RNAcentral